GAGAACUAAGAGAGAUAAUAGUGGCAUCCUCCUCGUUUACUUCAGAAAAUGGCCUUUGAUCUAUCUGCGUUGCAGAAGUACUCAUGAAGCUGUAAUGAAUGAGUGGCAAAUAACAUCUUCUCUUUGUGUACAAGAGGAUGACUGAUGAUGAUGGUCACCAUAUCCUGCAAAGUAGGGCAGAGAAACAUGCCUACUGGACAGGGGCUUGACCUCCAAUUUGGUCCAAGUGUAAGCAUUGGACUUUAUUUACACACACAGGAGUAAGCUGGUUGCCUUGGCUCUGGUACAGUGAUGUCGUCACUGCUAAGCAUUGCAACAAUAUCAGACAUAGUGGGACGGUCUACUGCUUUUACUUGGACACACAUCAGUGCCAACCUGAGAUAUUUCAUCAUGUCUCCUGGUUCAUAUUCAUCACCAAUUGAUUGAUCAAUGAAUUCAUGCCAUCUUUCUUCUUCCCACAUCUGCCAUGCCUGGAAAUACGGUCCUUACAUAAAUUUGACGAUCCCUAUGGAUGAUACGCAGUCGUGAAUGCUCAUGAAGGUAUAGAAGCCCUUGGGCUAUUCCUUCAACUAUUUUAAGUCGUAUCAUCCAGUUUAAUGAUGUCCUCCUGUUUGGAUCUGCAAAUGUGGCACAGGGCUGAGUGUUUAGUACUACAGAGGGGAAGGCAUACAAUUAAACGUUAGCAAAUUACUCCAGAAAGAAAUGUACCGAAAAUGAAGUAGUCCAAGCUUUUGUUUGACAUGUAUUCAUAGAUCAGAAUCUUCUCUUCGUCAUGGAUGCAACAACCCAGCAGCCUAACAAGGUGUCUGUGCUGAAGUUUUGCUACCAGUUGGAUCUCAUUUUUGAAUUCCACUAGACCUUGUCUUGACCGUGCAGCGAGUUUUUUAAUCGCUACUUCUUGUCCGUCAGGAAAUAUUCCCUGCAAAAAUCAUGAACCAUCCUCUAUAACUUAGAAUGGUGCCAUGUUAAUUUUGUUUUUAUUGAGGAAAUAUGAAUAUGAUAGAAAAUACUUUGUAAACGGGCCCAAAGCCACCCUGUCCUAAUAUUUUGCCGGGUGAGAAGUUGUCUGUAGCAUCUGCGAUUUGUGAGAAAUCAUACAAGGAGAACUCAGAACCGGUAUCUUCCAUCUUCCAAAGCCUCAGGAUUUCAUCUAUGUUCUUGGGCUGCUCCGUGGAGUUUAUCUUCCCUAAAUGUACACCCCUCCAUCAGUUAUCAGUUAUUACAUGAAAUUAGAUCACUUGGUAGUGAGUUAGUUGCAACUAUCAUCAUUAGCGCAUGGAAUUUAUUGAACUGCUUACCUCUUUUUCUUCGUCUUAUGAUGUAUAGGACACAGAAAAGCAAACGUGUACAGACGACCGAGAGCGAGUACACUGUGGCAAUAAUCAGGAGUGCGUGGCCCUUCCUUUGCCCUGAAUAUUUCAAGAGAAUAAUUUACAGGUAGGGGAUGAACGAUACUUCUAAUAGCUUCUCAAGGUUCCAGCUCUUUCAUAAGCACUUUUUUUUUGCGGGUAGAAGGGAAAUGUCAGAAGGUGACUCAGAUAGGUAAAGUCAUGUACUUUCCAUGAUUGCUUCCUUCCAGUAUAUGUACCCAAAUUUGAUUAAGCAAACUGAACCUUUGUGCCAUUA
Triticum dicoccoides is the source of this 1626-nucleotide long non-coding RNA. RefSeq lists it as uncharacterized. The record is from RefSeq and is a predicted model, not a curated record. Lineage: Eukaryota; Viridiplantae; Streptophyta; Magnoliopsida; Poales; Poaceae. The transcript is spliced from 4 exons.